GGUAAGGAGGCCGAAGUGGUAGGCGAUGAAUUGUAAUUUUACUAUAGGUGGGUUUGAUUCCCUCUCUUAUUU
This 72-nucleotide transfer RNA is filed under the name Leiolepis boehmei. Its description in RNAcentral is "tRNA-Tyr". It matches the Rfam family "tRNA". Rfam says of the family: Transfer RNA (tRNA) molecules are approximately 80 nucleotides in length. Lineage: Eukaryota; Metazoa; Chordata; Lepidosauria; Squamata; Agamidae. The record is from RNAcentral.